UGGGGAAUUUUGGACAAUGGGCGAAAGCCUGAUCCAGCAAUGCCGCGUGUGUGAAGAAGGCCUUCGGGUUGUAAAGCACUUUUGUCCGGAAAGAAAUCCUUGGCUCUAAUACAGUCGGGGGAUGACGGUCCGGAAGAAUAAGCACCGGCUAACUACGUGCCAGCAGCCGCGGUAAUACGUAGGGUGCAAGCGUUAAUCGGAAUUACUGGGCGUAAAGCGUGCGCAGGCGGUUUGCUAAGACCGAUGUGAAAUCCCCGGGCUCAACCUGGGAACUGCAUUGGUGACUGGCAGGCUAGAGUAUGGCAGAGGGGGGUAGAAUUCCAUGUGUAGCAGUGAAAUGCGUAGAGAUGUGGAGGAAUACCGAUGGCGAAGGCAGCCCCCUGGGCCAAUACUGACGCUCAUGCACGAAAGCGU
RNAcentral lists this ribosomal RNA (414 nucleotides) under uncultured bacterium. RNAcentral's name for it is "partial 16S ribosomal RNA". It matches the Rfam family "Bacterial small subunit ribosomal RNA", at positions 355 to 762 of the family's 1533-position model. The record is from RNAcentral.